This 821-nucleotide long non-coding RNA is filed under the name Mytilus galloprovincialis (Mediterranean mussel). The record is from RNAcentral. Lineage: Eukaryota; Metazoa; Mollusca; Bivalvia; Mytilida; Mytilidae.
UUUCUUUCUAAAAUUGCAUUUAAUACUUAUAAUUUCUAUACAAAAACAAUCUAUAAUUUAAAUCACAGUGUUAAUUUUGAUAGCAGCUCAUACAUACAUUGGUAAAUGCUUUCAAAUAACAAUAUAAAAAUGACUUCACCAUAAGGUGGACCUACACAAUUGUGGUCACCAUAAAUGCACGGUAAAAUAGAUAUACAAACAAUAUGAAAAUGUCAAAAUAAACAAGUUUCAGAAUCUCAUGUAAUGCUUAAAGUAAUUGCAUUGUUUCUUUAAUUAGCAAUAAGUUGUGUAUAUUAACACAUCUAAGACACAUUUAAACAAGUUCCAUGUUUCCAUCAUUAUAUCACAAUUUUUGCUAUAUAAAUAAACUGUUACAUUACUUCUAUGUGUGGUUCUAGGAAGGAAUUUACUAUUUUUAGCCAUAAUUAAUUACAUAUUAUUAUUAGUGUUCAUAAUGCACAUGAGAAUAAUUAGCUUAAAAAUUAAUUGUUUAUUACUAAAGAAUACUCUUUCACAACAUUUACAAGAUAUGACAUACCAUAUCCAAUCUUCCAUCACUAGGUUUACAGUUUUUAUAUGAAAUCCUGAAUAAUAUAACUGUAUUGUAUCUUAAUUCUUUCUCUGUCCACAUCUUCAAACAUCAUAACUUUUCACAUAAAAACAAGUGUAAACAAUUUGUGUCAAAGCUUCCUUUCAAAAAUAUGAAAUUUAAUUAAAUAAACAAUGUACAGGAUUUGCCAUCACAAGACAUUAUCAUGUAAAAAAGAAAGAGCAUAAUAAAGUUGGAAACAUAUGUUUAUUAAGGAUGAAUGCUACUCUAA